UACGUAGGGGGCUAGCGUUGUCCGGAAUCAUUGGGCGUAAAGCGCGCGUAGGCGGCCCGGUAAGUCCGCUGUGAAAGUCAAAGGCUCAACCUUUGAAUGUCAGCGGAUACUGCCGGGCUAGAGUCCGGAAGAGGCGAGUGGAAUUCCUGGUGUAGCGGUGAAAUGCGCAGAUAUCAGGAAGAACACCCGUGGCGAAGGCAGGUCUCUGGGCCACUACUGACGCUGAGAAGCGAAAGCAUGGGGAGCGAACAGG
This 253-nucleotide ribosomal RNA is filed under the name uncultured bacterium. RNAcentral's name for it is "partial 16S ribosomal RNA". It matches the Rfam family "Bacterial small subunit ribosomal RNA", at positions 524 to 776 of the family's 1533-position model. The record is from RNAcentral.